ACGUAGGGAGCGAGCGUUAUCCGGAUUCAUUGGGCGUAAAGCGCGCGUAGGCGGCCCGUCAAGCGGGGUUUCAAAUCCAGGGGCUCAACCUCUGGCCGGACCCCGAACUGGCGGGCUCGAGUGCGGUAGAGGAAGGUGGAAUUCCCAGUGUAGCGGUGAAAUGCGCAGAUAUUGGGAAGAACACCGAUGGCGAAGGCAGCCUUCUGGGCCGCCACUGACGCUGAGGCGCGAAAGCUAGGGGAGCGAACAG
This 250-nucleotide ribosomal RNA is filed under the name uncultured bacterium. RNAcentral describes it as "partial 16S ribosomal RNA". It matches the Rfam family "Bacterial small subunit ribosomal RNA", at positions 525 to 775 of the family's 1533-position model. The record is from RNAcentral.